GUGAAUCAUCGAAUUUUUGAACGCAAAUUGCACUCUCUUCGGUGAGUAUGCGUGUUUGAGGGUCAGUAUUAAUAAAAUUCGGUGUGUUGCUUCCUUGUGACGUUUCGGGGGUUGGGUCAUCGUAAUAUAGCUUAGGUUUUAAGAGGAUUAAAAUUGACUCUUUUUGCGAAUUUUAGCUGUACAUAAAUUCUU
This 192-nucleotide unclassified non-coding RNA is filed under the name Glomeromycetes sp. RNAcentral's name for it is "partial contains 5.8S ribosomal RNA and internal transcribed spacer 2". The stretch from base 1 to 65 matches the Rfam family "5.8S ribosomal RNA", at positions 84 to 154 of the family's 154-position model. Lineage: Eukaryota; Fungi; Glomeromycota; Glomeromycetes. The record is from RNAcentral.